UUAGAACCAUGAAUAACUCAUUCUUCAUUCUAAAAGAAGAGAACUAAGAGUAACAACUGUAAAAUAUUUAGUUAUAAGUACUUCUGAGUCAGAACCAAACUCAGUCUAUAUGAAAUGAGCUGAGAAAAUAAAAUAAAAUAAAUAAGGACACAAAUAUUAAAAAAAUAAACUUUAUUGAGUUCAUACAUCUCCUUUUCACUGAUUUGUGGAGAUAUUUUACAUUAUUGAUCCAGCCAGCCAAUAAGGUGACUGGUUAUGUUAACCUGAGGGUAAAGUACUGCUGGACUAAGUGCCGAACUUCCUUUUGGGUCCAGCCAGCAGCCAAAGCAGCGGGUCUCCCUGCAACAGAACCGAGAUAAGAGCAUUUAUUUUGUUAUUGAUAUGUUUCUUUAUUAACCUUUUUCUUUUUUUAUUAAUUUAUUUCCAUAACUAUUCAUUUCUACAUUUAUUUAUCUCUCUAUUUAUUUCAGUAUUUCCUUGUCCUUAUGCUAAUAAAGGGGCUGUCAGUCAAUGAUGUCACAGCGUCUUAAUAUUCCUAUCAGUUGAUCGAUGUCAGACUCUGUAGAUCGACUGUUCAUGUCUUGCUCUCUCAGCGGUAACUAAGGACCAGACAGUACAGUAACGGCUUCUUACAGCAGCAGACAGUCAGAGAUCUGAGAGUCUCGGCUGAUGUGGCUGAAAAUGCAGGUCUGGGUUGUUUACUGGUUCGUGUGGAGGCUGUGGGGACAGUCUGCUCCAUUUAGCUGCCUCUGCUGAUUCAGAUGUCGACCCCAUAGUGUUCAGAGCUUUAGAGGAGGCGAAUAAUCGGCUUUUUCUGCAGAAUUCAGAUCAAACUCAGACAUUCGGACGCCCUUCUCACAUCCGGCCUGUGGAGCCAUCGAGAGUUACUCAUCAGCAGGGUCUCUGACAUGUUUACCAACACUGAUAAUGAAGAGCUGGAUGCAAAAGUAUGCGAGAUCCUCAGUUGUCAUCCAAAUACAGGAUAUAAAAUGAUGGCUGGCAUCUCAACGCUCGAGGCAUUCGGAUACAAAGACGUCGCGUUCAAGAAGCUGUGUGCCGUGAAGAUCCAGAAGGAAGUGAAACGCGUGCUCUUCAGCUGCAGACGGUGCGCCGCAGAAGGUAUUCUGUGCCUGCUCCUAACAGUUUGUGGCAUAUAGAUGGCAACCAUAAACUUAUUCGGUAAGGAUGUGCUUAUAUGAACACUG
Colossoma macropomum (tambaqui) is the source of this 1205-nucleotide long non-coding RNA. RefSeq lists it as uncharacterized. The transcript is spliced from 3 exons. NCBI's taxonomy places the organism in Eukaryota, Metazoa, Chordata, Actinopteri, Characiformes, Serrasalmidae. The record is from RefSeq and is a predicted model, not a curated record.